CCUACGGUGUGCAGCAGUCGCGAAUCAUUCACAAUGGAGGAAACCCUGAUGGUGCGACGCCGCGUGGGGGAAUGAAGGUCUUCGGAUUUUAAACCCCUGUCAUGUGGGAGCAAAUUAAAAAGAUAGUACCACAAGAGGAAGAGACGGCUAACUCUGUGCCAGCAGCCGCGGUAAUACAGAAGUCUCAAGCGGUGUUCGGAAUCACUGGGCGUAAGGCGUGCGUAGGCUGUUUCGUAAGUCGUGUGUGAAAGGCGCGGGCUCAACCCGCGGACGGCACAUGAUACUGCGAGAAUAGAGUAAUGGAGGGGGAACCGGAAUUCUCGGUGUAGCAGUGAAAUGCGUAGAUAUCGAGAGGAACACUCGUGGCGAAGGCGGGUUCCUGGACAUUAACUGACGCUGAGGCACGAAGGCCAGGGGAGCGAAAGGGAUUAGAUACCCUAGUAGUC
RNAcentral lists this ribosomal RNA (446 nucleotides) under uncultured bacterium. RNAcentral describes it as "partial 16S ribosomal RNA". It matches the Rfam family "Bacterial small subunit ribosomal RNA", at positions 338 to 795 of the family's 1533-position model. The record is from RNAcentral.